AUGAUCUGGCCUCAUUCUCCUUUUGGUCGUUUUUCAGUUAAAUCCUUGUAUUCUAGGCUCAUCGGAGGUUCCCCUUCUAAUAGAUUUUCCUGCAUCUGGCGGUCCAAAGUUCCUCCUAAGAUUAAAAUCUUCCUCUGGCAGGCCUUUAGAGGUCGUCUGCCUGCGGCCGACCAAAUUCGUAAGCGGAACGGGCCGGGAUCGGCUUUCUGUGCCCUAUGCGGUGUCGCAGAGGAUACGAACCAUAUCUUUUUUCAUUGUGUGUUGGCUAAGCUGGUCUGGAGCUGUGUCCGCUCAUGGCUCCAGGUUUCUUGGAAUCCCUCCUCCUUUCAUAACCUGAGAAACCUUGCCAGCUCGCUGGUUGGGGUGACUAAGAGGAUUUUCUGGGUUGGCCUGGGUGCAAUUUGCUGGUCUUUGUGGACGAUUAGGAACAAAUUUACGAUCGAGCACGUCUUCCCAUCUAAGGCUGUUGACGUUCUUUUCAAAUCUUGUAUCUUCUUGCAGCAGUGGAGAUCAUUGACUAAGAAGGACGACUGGGGAGCGCUGGACCUGCUCAUAUAUAAAAUUCGGGCCUCGGCGUCUUCUAUUUCUGGACAGGACCCUGGCGCCUGA
RNAcentral lists this ribosomal RNA (609 nucleotides) under Triticum aestivum (bread wheat). Its description in RNAcentral is "partial small subunit ribosomal RNA". The record is from RNAcentral. Lineage: Eukaryota; Viridiplantae; Streptophyta; Magnoliopsida; Poales; Poaceae.